AACGAACGCUGGCGGCAGGCCUAACACAUGCAAGUCGAGCGAGGACUUCGGUUCUAGCGGCGGACGGGUGAGUAACGCGUGGGAAUGUGCCCUUCUCUACGGAAUAGCCCUGGGAAACUGGGAGUAAUACCGUAUACGCCCUAUUGGGGAAAGAUUUAUCGGAGAAGGAUCAGCCCGCGUUGGAUUAGGUAGUUGGUGGGGUAAUGGCCUACCAAGCCGACGAUCCAUAGCUGGUUUGAGAGGAUGAUCAGCCACACUGGGACUGAGACACGGCCCAGACUCCUACGGGAGGCAGCGGUGGGGAAUCUGAGACAAUGGGGGCAACCCUGAUCUAGCCAUGCCGCGUGAGUGAUGAAGGCCUUAGGGUUGUAAAGCUCUUUCAGCUGGGAAGAUAAUGACGGUACCAGCAGAAGAAGCCCCGGCUAACUCCGUG
RNAcentral lists this ribosomal RNA (433 nucleotides) under uncultured bacterium. RNAcentral's name for it is "partial 16S ribosomal RNA". It matches the Rfam family "Bacterial small subunit ribosomal RNA", at positions 29 to 507 of the family's 1533-position model. The record is from RNAcentral.